RNAcentral lists this small RNA (3963 nucleotides) under Rattus norvegicus (Norway rat). Its description in RNAcentral is "uncharacterized LOC102555028". The record is from RNAcentral. Lineage: Eukaryota; Metazoa; Chordata; Mammalia; Rodentia; Muridae.
GUUUCUGGACACGCCCUCUUCAAAAGGACAGCCAGAGGUCCCUUCCUCUGAGGCUUUGGACGCUUGCCUGCUUCUAUUUCUCAGGAACAGAUAAGCCUAAUCCUUCGAGAGAAAGGCCUAAGCCCAUGAAUCAUUAAACAAUACGAAUACCACAGGGCAGUUAGUUUUCAGUUUAUAGGCACCGUCUACGUUUAGGGUCCUUGGAGGCCACAGGACAUGAGAUCCUCUGAUGGGUGGGAAGUUGUGAUGAGUUACUAAGAGAAGGUAUGGUGAGCUCUUAGUUCAGUACUUGGCUUAUAAUAAAUGCUCAAGGAGUGAGAAUUCAUGGUGCUGCGGUCGAAAGCUUACACAUGAGUUCUGAGAGUGAACAUCUCCAGCCCUCAAAAUUGUUGUCCUGUCCUACUCUGCUGUUACAACCUAGCCAUCGCAUGUUGACAAACUCCUAUCAGGAAUGCACAGCAGGCUUCACGUUAUGUUUCUGAGAUUUACUAUGUAGACCCUCGGAGACCACAUGUGUGGUAGUACACUGAGGAGGAUCAGGAAUCCAGUGUUAGCCUGAGCUAUGUAAGGAGAAACCUACUUCAAAGCAAACAAGGACCGGUGGGCGGAGCAACCUAAGUGCUUCGUUUUACUCUUUACUGGUCCAUAUUGCAGUUGUCGAGAAAAGUAAUCUGCAUUUCUUCUGGGUGUGAAAGAAAGGACUACAAACCAGAAGAACUUGCAAAGUCAUUGUGAGUCUCACCUUUUGUCUCAGGGGAUUGUGCAUGCCGGGCUUCCUCCUUAGGUAGCUGGAAGCUUUGUUUUGGGAGCCUUAACACUCCCUGUAUAAACAGAAGGAGUCACUAACACCCAGGGCCUCUCAGUUCUUUUCAUUUCCCUUGACAUUGGUAGGAUCUCAUAACACUGUUUAUGCUUUCCUUUCAAACCUAUUCCUCUCACUUGGCCGGAAACAAGCUCUGCCAUUCGGAAAGCCUAACUAACUCACAAGUUCUAAGUAUUUAGAUCAAAGGAGAAAAGAAAAGGAAAAAAAAAAAAAAAGACCCAUGGAGAAUUCAUUGCUGUAGAAAGAGAUAACACUUUCCACCCAGUUUUUGUUUGAGGAUUCUUGCUUUUGUUUUUGUUUGAGGAUUCUAGCUUUUGUUUUUGUUUUUGUUUGAGGAUUCUUGCUUUUGUUUUUGUUUUUGCUAUAUAUGAGAACAUCUGAGGAUUUAAAUUCCUUAAUGCAAAAAAAAUAUCAAAUAUGAGUCUUUUCUGACUGGCAUACGUGCUGGCUUGGAGCAGUGCCGCCUUUCUGUUUGGAGCCCUGACACCUUUCGCCUUCUCCGUUUCCUGUGUCCAGACUAGCCCAUUAAGAUUGUGACAUCUGAUCCCAGCCAGUGGGGAAAACACAAUCACCACCUUCCUCAGAAUAAAAGCCAGGAACUUCCUGCCCAGGUGUGUCUCUCUCCCCCAGCACACUCUAUUAUCAAGAGUAAACGGUUGUCCAGAUACUCAAUUGGAGCAAUGAUUUUUUUGUGUGUGUGACCCCGAACUUAUUUCUAGCAUUAGCAGGCUACCCGCUGUAUUUUCUUGUAAGGUAAAGUAGAUUGAAAGUCUCUAUUUUUAUUUUAACUCCCUCAAUUACUGUGGUUUUGUUUCCACGCCAAGGAGUCACUAAGUGACUUCAUCUUAAGGAUGUGCUCUGUGACAGAGGUAAACAAGUGCCGAGAAAUCAGUUUGGACUGAGGACAGGAGAGGCACAUGCCUUAAGCAUUGUACCCCUCAUUGGCAUGAACAAGAGUGUGUCUAACGAAGGACCAAAAGGAAGCUUUGGGUUUUGUGUCUGAGGCAUGAGUGUAAGGCACUACCUUACACUUGAGUAAGGUAGAAUUGACAAAACCGAGAAACUUACAAGACAUCUUUUCUUAAAAUACCACUCAGUAGAUAUUUCUCAUAUAUCUAGCAUGUGUCAGUUUGAGGACAUGCAGGCAAAUUCCCAGUUAGUGCACCCUGCUCCCUGUUCCGUUGUAACCUGCAGUCUAAUGGAGGAAGCCAAUGCCAGUGGUAGAACAGAAGCAAGGCAAAUUAUCCUGUGGUUGUUGUUACAAAGGGAAGCUACAGAUAUGUGAAACCCACAAGUGGCUAAUAAAAUUAAAGGAGGAAAAUGGCUUAAUCUGCAGUCCUACAAGAUGACUUUGGGCAUUAUCUCACACGGCUUAAGGAGAGCCACAAUGAAUAAAAGGCAAGAAGAUGUGUCGAAACAGUGUGUGAGCCUCCAUCUUGCCUUAGUUAGAAAGGAAACAAAAACACUGCCAUGACAAUGAUAACAAGCACUAAGACCAAAAAAAAGAGAUAGUCGUUCCCAAGGAUUGGGGAUUCAAAGGGAGAUUGGUGCAUUGGGACGAUGUGAGGGUUGGGAUUGAAAAGGGAAAUUUAUUAAUAACCCCACAGGUUUGAGUCUAACAAAACUGAUGCCAUUAAUGAACCCAUUGUCUAGUGCGGUCAUGUAAGAUUGGCUGGAGAGCUGCUGUGUUAUAAUAUUUGCAAGUAUUAAACUGGUAGGUGAUAGAGGAAAAGGAUAGAUAUACUACUUUUGUUUAGGCUGUACGGAUGGGUAGUUUGACUCUGAGAUAACACUUUGCUUAAAGUUGGGGUGUUCGUAUUGUUAUAAAUGGAUGCGUCUUAGUAGUUCUUACAUAAUUUCUUGGCCAGUUAAUUAGGAAUUUUAAGCUUCUAUUACUGGAUUAAUGUAGUGUUAUUAAUGUACUGUUUGGUUUAAGUUAUAUUUAUAGUAUAUAAAUCUUCAAAUAAUUGGGCAUCAAGUGAAAGGAGGUAGAUGUAUAACCAUCAAAGUAUUGACUAGUGCAAAAGAUACCUUUGUAUUAUUAAAGUAGCAUGUGAGGUCUUUAUGGUGUGGCUAUCAUGUAGGAACCUAGGGUCAUAACCAGUAUACUAAGUCCACCUAGGACAAUAGUGAUGCUACAUUGUCCCAUAGAUGAGAAGAAGGUAACCUGUGAUAGACAAACUGAUGGCUUUGACUAUGGCUUUGUUCAUCCUUUGCAAGACAAAGCAAGGAGAGCUUGUGACUGUGGGCUAUCAGGACUGUGGCUCCAGUAAAAUGCAGUGACGUUUGGCUAAGAACGACUGUAAUUAGCCGUAUAUGACUUGACAAGCUCACAAAGGGCGAUCUUAAGUCUAUGUGGUUUAGACAGGUAGUGCUUGGUAUCUGUGGAUCCUGGUGAUUGAACUUGCUGAUCAGAUUAUUAGAUGAGCAGCUUGGAAACUCAGGAGUAGCUUAUCAAGCAAUUUUAAGUUCAAUAUAGAUUAAAGCUGUGCGUAUUCAAUCAGUAUGCAAAACGGAAAAGGAAAAGGACGUCCCUACUAUUCAGCUUGGCUCCUUCAGUUGGUGAUAAUAAUUAAGUUGGAAUUAUGUUACCUUGAAGAAAAUAUAGAAUAGGAUUAGGUAUUUUGGCAAUAAAUGCCAUGAUUAAAAAUAUCCCUAAAAACUGGGUGUGGUGGCACAUAACUGAAUUCUCAUUUAGAGACAUGAAAAUGAGGUGUCCAAGGCCACCUUUGGCUAUGUGGUUAGUUUGAGUCCACCAGAAUCCAUGAGAUUCAAUUUCAAAGCACAAACAAGUCAGACACGGUGACCCAUGCCUUUAAUCCCAGCACUCAGGGGACAGAAGUCUAGGCUAACCUUGUCUACAAAUCCAUGAAGCAAGGGCUACACAGAGAAACCCUGUCUGAAAAAACAAACAAGCAAACAAACAAAUAAUACAAACAACACGCCUUAAAGCAACUAAUAUUUGCAGACUAAUUAAUAUUGAUUAAUAAUUAAUGUUGAGUAUUUGUCUUAUUGCUGUAACAAAAUGCUUAAAAUAAAGAAGAAGAAUUUCUGGGCAUAGUGGCUCAUCCAUUUAAUCUCAGCACUAGAGAGAUGGAGACAAUAGAUCUUUGAGUUCAAGGCCAGCCUGGUCUACAUAG